AAAACUUUCAACAACGGAUCUCUUGGUUCUGGCAUCGAUGAAGAACGCAGCGAAAUGCGAUAAGUAAUGUGAAUUGCAGAAUUCAGUGAAUCAUCGAAUCUUUGAACGCACAUUGCGCCCGCCAGUAUUCUGGCGGGCAUGCCUGUCCGAGCGUCAUUUCAACCCUCGAACCCCUCCGGGGGGUCGGCGUUGGGGAUCGGCCCUCCCUCUGCGGGGGCCGUCUCCGAAAUCCAGUGGCGGUCUCGCCGCAGCCUCUCCUGCGCAGUAGUUUGCACACUCGCACCGGGAGCGCGGCGCGUCCACAGCCGUUAAACACCCAACUUUCUGAAAUGUUGACCUCGGAUCAGGUAGGAAUACCCGCUGAACUUAAGCAUAUCAAUAAGCGGAGGAAAAGAAACCAACAGGGAUUGCCCCAGUAACGGCGAGUGAAGCGGCAACAGCUCAAAUUUGAAAUCUGGCCCCUAGGGUCCGAGUUGUAAUUUGUAGAGGAUGCUUUUGGUGAGGUGCCGCCCGAGUUCCCUGGAACGGGACGCCACAGAGGGUGAGAGCCCCGUCUGGCUGGCCGCCGAGCCUCUGUAAAGCUCCUUCGACGAGUCGAGUAGUUUGGGAAUGCUGCUCAAAAUGGGAGGUAUAUGUCUUCUAAAGCUAAAUAUUGGCCAGAGACCGAUAGCGCACAAGUAGAGUGAUCGAAAGAUGAAAAGCACCUUGAAAAGAGGGUUAAAUAGUACGUGAAAUUGUUGAAAGGGAAGCGCUUGUGACCAGACUUGGGCGCGGCGGAUCAUCCGGGGUUCUCUCCGGUGCACUUCGCCGCGUCUAGGCCAGCAUCAGUUCGUCGCGGGGGAAAAAGGCUUCGGGAACGUGGCUCCUCCGGGAGUGUUAUAGCCCGUUGCAUAAUACCCUGCGGUGGACUGAGGACCGCGCAUCUGCAAGGAUGCUGGCGUAAUGGUCACCAGCGACCCGUCUUGAAACACGGACCAAGGAGUCGUCUUCGUAUGCGAGUGUUCGGGUGUCAAACCCCUACGCGUAAUGAAAGUGAACGCAGGUGAGAGCUUCGGCGCAUCAUCGACCGAUCCUGAUGUUCUCGGAUGGAUUUGAGUAAGAGCAUACGGGGCCGGACCCGAAAGAAGGUGAACUAUGCCUGUAUAGGGUGAAGCCAGAGGAAACUCUGGUGGAGGCUCGCAGCGGUUCUGACGUGCAAAUCGAUCGUCAAAUAUGGGCAU
RNAcentral lists this ribosomal RNA (1220 nucleotides) under Trichoderma sp. INBio_4035B. RNAcentral's name for it is "eukaryotic LSU rRNA". The stretch from base 334 to 1220 matches the Rfam family "Eukaryotic large subunit ribosomal RNA", at positions 1 to 918 of the family's 3401-position model. Lineage: Eukaryota; Fungi; Ascomycota; Sordariomycetes; Hypocreales; Hypocreaceae. The record is from RNAcentral.